CACGUAGGGCGCAAGCGUUGUCCGGAAUUAUUGGGCGUAAAGAGCUCGUAGGCGGUCUGUUGCGUCCGCUGUGAAAACUCGGGGCUUAACCCCGGGCCUGCAGUGGGUACGGGCAGACUAGAGUGCGGUAGGGGAGACUGGAAUUCCUGGUGUAGCGGUGAAAUGCGCAGAUAUCAGGAGGAACACCGGUGGCGGAGGCGGGUCUCUGGGCCGAUAUUGACGCUGAGGAGCGAAAGCGUGGGGAGCGAACAGG
RNAcentral lists this ribosomal RNA (253 nucleotides) under uncultured bacterium. Its description in RNAcentral is "partial 16S ribosomal RNA". It matches the Rfam family "Bacterial small subunit ribosomal RNA", at positions 524 to 776 of the family's 1533-position model. The record is from RNAcentral.